Molecule: small RNA, 137 nt
Filed under: Azotobacter beijerinckii
Lineage: Bacteria; Pseudomonadati; Pseudomonadota; Gammaproteobacteria; Pseudomonadales; Pseudomonadaceae
Source: RNAcentral
GACGUCGAAGGAACGACGCAAGCCGACCAAGGAUGGCGGCCAGGGAAAGUCGCAGGAUAGCGACCUCCUCAGGAUGAGGAACCAGGGAUGCGGUUGAACGACACGAAGCGGCGAGGCUAACCCCUCGCCGUUUUUGU